This 1773-nucleotide ribosomal RNA is filed under the name Ortholinea sp. n. AC-2019. RNAcentral describes it as "SSU rRNA". It matches the Rfam family "Eukaryotic small subunit ribosomal RNA", at positions 334 to 1772 of the family's 1831-position model. Lineage: Eukaryota; Metazoa; Cnidaria; Myxozoa; Bivalvulida; Ortholineidae. The record is from RNAcentral.
UUUCCUUUCGCGCUCGCGUCACGUUGUACGGGGUAAUCAGGUUCGAUUCCGGAGAGGAGCUGAGAAUGGCCACCACAUCCAAGGGAGGCAGCAGGCGCGUAAAUUACCCAAUCCAGAAUCUGGGAGGUGGUGACGAGAAAUACUAGAUGGCUUCCUUAUAGGAUGUCAUACUGGAAUGGACGUAAUUUAAGUAAUUCGAUGAGUAACAACUGGAGGGCAAGUCUGGUGCCAGCAGCCGCGGUAAUUCCAGCUCCAGUAGUGUAUCUUAAAGUUGCUGCGUUUAAAACGCUCGUAGUUGGAUUACGCAGUGUAGGUUAGUCGAUUGGCAUGAUAUUGCACUCAAUCCAGCUGGUUGUUUUUUUCACCACGGUAUAUCCUGGAGUUGAUUGCAGCUAGUUGGAGCAAUACGUGUUGAUUUAUAGCUAGCCUAUGCUACUUUUUCGUGAGGAUGGCAAUUGACCUUUAGUGUGUUGAAUGUCGUGUCUUACGAAGUGUGCCUUGAAUAAAUCAGAGUGCUCAAAGCAGGGCAUUAGCUUGAAUGUUGAUAGCAUGGAACGAACAAUUGUGACUCCGUGUUCAAGGUGAAAUUUCUUAGGGGAUUUAUUGUUCGCUAGGGUUAUGUAUCUUUUGAACACAGCACCAACCGCCAUUAUCGGGAUGUUGGUUUCCGUAAUGGGGUGAUGAAUUAAAAGGAGCGGUUGGGGGCAUUGGUAUUUGCCGCGAGAGGUGAAAUUCUUGGACCGGCAAGGACUAACAAAUGCGAAGGCUUCUGCCAAGACCGUUUCCAUUAAUCAAGACGAUAGUGAGAGGUCGAAGACGAUCAGAUACCGUCCUAGUUCUCACUGUUAACUUAUUGCCGCCCCCGGGAUCAGUUUUCGAGCUUUAGAAAAUGCUCGUGGUUGGUCCCCCUGGGAAACCUCAAGUUUUUAGGUUACCGGGGGGAGUAUUGGUGCAAGGCUGAAACUUAAAAGGAAUUGGACGGAAAGGGCACCCACCGGGGGUGGGAGCCUGGCGGCUUAAUUUUGCCUUCAACCAGGGGUAAAACCUCAACCUAUGAUCCGGACAAUUCGAUAUAGGAUAAGACAGGACCUUAAUAGAAUCCUUUCCUUGGAUACGGUGGUUGGUGGUGCAUGGCCGUUCUUAAGUUCGUGGAGUGAUCUGUUCAGGUUGAUUCCGGUAACGGGACGAGACCACGGUUUUCAUUUUAUGGUACCGGAGAAGGUUUACAGUUAAAUUGGCAACAAUUGAGCUGUAACUAUUGGAAAGGGUAUUUGUUGGUUUGCGCCGCAUUUUUGAGGACUUGGUGGUCUAGGCUGUCAAGAAAUUUUGAAUGAGGUGUGAUAGUAAUGGGUAUUCUCCCUCCGGUUAAACAUUGCAGGGUUACGCUCUGUGAUGUGCUAUGAAAAGACAACCAAGUAUACUUUAGAAGUUGGAGGAAGCAGUGGCGAUAACAGGUCUGUGAUGCCCUUAGAUGUCUAGGGCCGCACGCGCGCUACAAUGAUAGCAACAAUGAGUGUCUUGGUCGAAAGACCCGGGUAAACUUUUAAAUUGCUAUCGUGAUGGGGAUUGAUCGUUGUAAUUUUCGGUCAUGAAAGAGGAAUCCCUAGUAUGCAUGCGUCAUUAGCGUAUGCAGAUUAAGUCCCUGCCCUUUGUACACACCGCCCGUCGCUACUACCGAGUGAAUCGUGUCAUGAUGCCUUGGGACCGGACAUCAUUCAGGUGGUUUCCAUUUAGAGUGAUGCUGGGAUCAAGAAAAACAAAAAAGGGGACCAC